RNAcentral lists this ribosomal RNA (774 nucleotides) under Mesoplodon stejnegeri (Stejneger's beaked whale). RNAcentral's name for it is "partial 16S ribosomal RNA". It matches the Rfam family "Bacterial large subunit ribosomal RNA", at positions 1460 to 2563 of the family's 2925-position model. Lineage: Eukaryota; Metazoa; Chordata; Mammalia; Artiodactyla; Ziphiidae. The record is from RNAcentral.
ACUCCUAGCUUGACUAUUGGACUAAUCUAUACAAACAUAGAAGCAACACUGUUAAUAUGAGUAACAAGAAAUUUUUCUCCUCGCACAAGCUUAUUUCAGUAGCUGAUAGUAUACUGAUAGUUAACAACUAAUAAAUAAAACCCAACACUAAACUAUUUAUUAAUAUACUGUUAACCCAACACAGGUGUGCAUUAAGGAAAGAUUAAAAAAAGUAAAAGGAACUCGGCAAAUAUAAACCCCGCCUGUUUACCAAAAACAUCACCUCUAGCAUAACUAGUAUUAGAGGCACUGCCUGCCCAGUGACAAUAGUUAAACGGCCGCGGUAUCCUGACCGUGCAAAGGUAGCAUAAUCAUUUGUUCUUUAAAUAAGGACUUGUAUGAAUGGCCACACGAGGGUUUUACUGUCUCUUACUUUUAAUCAGUGAAAUUGACCUCCCCGUGAAAAGGCGGGGAUAAUAAAAUAAGACGAGAAGACCCUAUGGAGCUUUAAUUAACCAACCCAAAAAAUCUUAAAUCUUAACCACCAAGGAAUAACAAAACUUUAUAUGGGUUGACAAUUUCGGUUGGGGUGACCUCGGAGUAUAAAAAAACCUCCGAAUGAUUAAAACUUAGGCCUACCAGCCAAAGUAUCAUAUCACUUAUUGAUCCAAAAUUUUUUGAUCAACGGAACAAGUUACCCUAGGGAUAACAGCGCAAUCCUAUUCUAGAGUCCAUAUAGACAAUAGGGUUUACGACCUCGAUGUUGGAUCAGGACAUCCUAAUGGUGUAGCCGCU